RNAcentral lists this long non-coding RNA (1015 nucleotides) under Nicotiana benthamiana. Its description in RNAcentral is "long non-coding RNA (NBEN_LNC041485)". Lineage: Eukaryota; Viridiplantae; Streptophyta; Magnoliopsida; Solanales; Solanaceae. The record is from RNAcentral.
AUGGAUGGAAUGCAGUCAUCAGUUAUUCAACAUUCAGUAGAUAUUCUUUUGUGAUUUUUAUUAUUGAAACAUUAAAAGGUUGCUUUUUUGUCAUAUAGAGGAUAUCUGAUAUUUGUAAAGAGGCGGGAUGUUGGCUCGUAAUUGAUAAUACUUAUGAGUAAGUGAUUUUUCUUGCCGUAUACGAAUCUUUUUGUUUUUCAUAUUGACUUUACUUAUGAGUAAGUGAUUUUUCUUGCCGUAUACGAAUCUUUUUGUUUCUCAUAUUGACUUUACAGCCUGCUAUUAAUGACUGCUGCCGUUUCAUUUUCUCAUCAACGGACGAACGAUGACGGUCUUAGAACUAUUGAUGAUGAGGAAAGUAAUUGUUGAACGGAGUGGUCCUAAAAUACUGCUGGUUAGACCAGUAAGAAACUUUGUGAAUGUAAACCGACGAUACAGGAUUUUGUUGCAUUGUGAGAAAUUUUUUAAUGCUACAUAUCCAACAUUUUAGGGGUGUUGGUUUCAAACAGUUGGCAAUACAUUAGGACUAGUUUGGUAAGGAAUCUUCAGACUGCACUAAAUUUGAUAGGCAACAAAAUUUAUGACAGCCGGGAUCUGUUGCAUGAUAAAAUUAACUGCUAAGAAGGGGAGAAAAGGAAAUAGCUGAGGUGAAGAAUGAUCAGGUUUAAUAUUUGUUUGAGAGAGAAAUGAAUCUGAAUCUUAAUUUUCAGAUUCCAGCAAGCAACCAAAUUGUCAUUACACUUCACUGAACAUGUCUAGAAUUUUAUCUUUAUUUUGGGCCAUUUGUUGCUAUAUGUUCUCAAGUAUAGAUGAAAAUUGGCUUUGUGAAGAGCUAAAGUAUUAAGACCCGUCGCUAUUGAGUCUAUGCUCUCCCGUGAAUGCAUUUAUCUUAUUCUGUCAAACAUCUUCUCUGGUCCUUCUUUUUCUAGUAACUUUGUUCGGUACACUUUGCUUGUGGUUUAUUAUUUUUCCUGAAUGAUAUGUUCUUAUAUAUAUGUAGCAAGUCAUUUGCAGG